UUAGUGUAAAGAGCUUUUGGAAUAAGAGCUGGGCAAGACCGGUGCCAGCCGCCGCGGUAACACCGGCAGCUCUAGUGGUAACAAUUUUUAUUGGGCCUAAAGCGUCCGUAGCCGGUUUAAUAAGUCUCUGGUGAAAUCCUGUAGCUUAACUGUGGGAAUUCGCUGGAGAUACUAUUAGACUUGAGACCGGGAGAGGUUAGAGGUACUCCCAGGGUAGAGGUGAAAUUCUGUAAUCCUGGGAGGACCGCCUGUUGCGAAGGCGUCUAACUGGAACGGUUCUGACGGUGAGGGACGAAAGUUAGGGGCGCGAACCGGAUUAGAUACCCGGGUAGUCCUAACUGUAAACGAUGCGGACUUGGUGUUGGGGUGGCUUUGAGCUGCUCCAGUGCC
Molecule: ribosomal RNA, 390 nt
Filed under: uncultured archaeon
Lineage: Archaea
Description: bacterial SSU rRNA
Rfam family: Archaeal small subunit ribosomal RNA
Source: RNAcentral